This is a long non-coding RNA of Ictidomys tridecemlineatus (thirteen-lined ground squirrel), 1334 nucleotides long. RefSeq lists it as uncharacterized. The record is from RefSeq and is a predicted model, not a curated record. NCBI's taxonomy places the organism in Eukaryota, Metazoa, Chordata, Mammalia, Rodentia, Sciuridae.
GGGGUGCUGUCGGGGCUCCGGUGUCGCAGGCACCGACCCUGCGCCGCCCCCGCUCGGCGCCGGGGCCCGGCUGCUCAGGUCUCCGCGGCCCCGCGCUCCGCCCCGCGCGGGCAGAGCUCUUGCCCAUGUGAAUCAGUCUACACAACCUAGGACAUCUUUUGGUACCUGAUUCUCUGAAGUUGAGCAUCUUCUUUGGAUGGCUCCUUGGGCAUCUGGCUGGCCUCUGCAAUUAUAUCUCGAAUUUUCUGUAGGCAAUCUGCCAGAUUCCGGAACUGAUAGCGGCUGCUUUCGGAGGUGAGUAUCAACUCUCCUUCCCUGUUGAUCUUAUUUUUAUGCUGAAAGAACAAAAGUGGAGUUCUGCAGAGUAAAGGUUUAGAAGCCGCUGAUGAAUCUGCAGGGAAAUAAAGGGAGAGUGGUUACCUUGAGCGCAAUCUUCUGCCUCACAGGCUCUGCAAUCCAGUCAGCUGUGGCCAAAUGGAACCUGACUUCAGCCUUGGAAUUCACUGCGGAUGAAAGAAAGGAGUAGUGGUCACUGAGACUUGGGAAGAUAAAGCACCCAGGGGACCAGUGACUAUCCUGGAACCAAGGGAAGUCAGAUACCCAGCCAUGCAUGUGCUGGCCUUUGUCGAAGUUGGCCAUGGAACGAGCCCGCAAAGGCAGUGAGGCUCUUCAGGACAAAAAACCUUCUGGUAACUACCCAUGCAAUGCUCCUCUUCCAGUUUUACUGGCUUCUGUAAAUAAUGGGGGGAAUGGGUUCCACAAGAAUGAAGGAAACCUGUUCUUGGAGCUGGCUGCCAGCUCACACUGUGAGUUCUCUUUGUUUAGCUUCACAAGCCAAUCCUACUCCUAGCAAGCCAUAGCUGAGAGCCUGAGAAUCAGACCACAUUCAAAAGGAUAAAGAGGAUUAUUAUAAGCUGGUGGUAUUUAAGCUUUGGCUGAAAAAAAUCCCUUUAUUCCACAUGAAUGUAAAAACAGCUCCCUCUUCAAUCCCCUCUCCCAGCUAAGUUUUAAAGCAACAGAAAACACCAAGGUACCUGUACCUUUGUUUACAUUCUGCCCGCCGGGACCACUACUCCGACAGUAAGAUAUCGUCAAGCGAUCUAUAAAAUGAAAGGAUGCACACCCAAAGGGUUAUCCCAUGGCCAAAUGUACAGACUGCUAACUAUCAACGUAACUGUCCUUAUUACACAUCUCUUUCAAUCACACAAGGCACACACAAAUGUAGUAUUCAGGCCAGUAAAGCUGUAGAGUAUUUAUAGAUGUCAAAACUGAAAUAAAGGGCAAGUACUUCCCCAAGGUCAUAGAAACAGCAGAGAAAUAAAAUUAUGACUGGG